Molecule: non-coding RNA, 24 nt
Filed under: Cricetulus griseus (Chinese hamster)
Lineage: Eukaryota; Metazoa; Chordata; Mammalia; Rodentia; Cricetidae
Source: RNAcentral
CCAGUAGUACUUGACAAGCUUAUC